This 468-nucleotide ribosomal RNA is filed under the name uncultured bacterium. Its description in RNAcentral is "partial 16S ribosomal RNA". It matches the Rfam family "Bacterial small subunit ribosomal RNA", at positions 28 to 507 of the family's 1533-position model. The record is from RNAcentral.
GAUGAACGCUGGCGGCGUGCUUAACACAUGCAAGUCGAACGGAAAGGCCCAAGCUUGCUUGGGUACUCGAGUGGCGAACGGGUGAGUAACACGUGGGUGAUCUGCCCUGCACUUCGGGAUAAGCCUGGGAAACUGGGUCUAAUACUGGAUAGGACCACUUCUUGGAUGGUGUGGUGGAAAGUUUUUUCGGUGUGGGAUGAGCUCGCGGCCUAUCAGCUUGUUGGUGGGGUAAUGGCCUACCAAGGCGUCGACGGGUAGCCGGCCUGAGAGGGUGUACGGCCACAUUGGGACAGAGAGACGGCCCAGACUCAUACGGGAGGCAGCAGUGGGGAAUAUUGCACAAUGGGCGCAAGCCUGAUGCAGGGACGCCGCGUGGGGGAUGACGGCCUUCGGGGUGUAAACUCCUUUCGCUAGGGACGAAGCGUUUUUGUGACGGUACCUGGUGAAGAAGCACCGGCUAACUACGUG